CCUACGGUGUGCAGCAGUCGAGAAUCAUUCACAAUGGGGGAAACCCUGAUGGUGCGACGCCGCGUGGGGGAAUGCAGGUCUUCGGAUUGUAACCCCCUGUCAUGUGGGAGCAAAUUAAAAAGAUAGUACCACAAGAGGAAGAGCCGGCUAACUCUGUGCCAGCAGCCGCGGUAAUCCAGAGGUCUCAAGCGUUGUUCGGAAUCACUGGGCGUAAAGCGUGCGUCGGCUGUUUCGUAAGUCGUGUGUGAACGGCGAGGGGUCAACCCGCGGACGGCCCAUGAUACUGCGAGACUAGAGUAAUGGAGGGGGAACCGGAAUUCGCGGUGUAGCAGUGAAAUGCGUAGAUAUCGAGAGGAACACUCGUGGCGAAGGCGGGUUCCUGGACAUUAACUGACGCUGAGGCACGAAGGCCAGGGGAGCGAAAGGGAUUAGAUACCCUUGUAGUC
Molecule: ribosomal RNA, 446 nt
Filed under: uncultured bacterium
Lineage: Bacteria
Description: partial 16S ribosomal RNA
Rfam family: Bacterial small subunit ribosomal RNA
Source: RNAcentral